This is a long non-coding RNA of Gorilla gorilla gorilla (western lowland gorilla), 2815 nucleotides long. RefSeq lists it as uncharacterized. The record is from RefSeq and is a predicted model, not a curated record. The transcript has 7 exons. NCBI's taxonomy places the organism in Eukaryota, Metazoa, Chordata, Mammalia, Primates, Hominidae.
CUGAGAAUUUACUGUGUGCCGGCACCAUGCUAGGUGCUAGGGAGACAAAGAUGUGGAACUCUCAUCCACACCCUCAAGGAACUUAUAGUCGAAUGCACCUACCGAAUGUCAAAUGGCACCAUCCUUAUCAUUGUUCAGAAGCUUAUAACCAGCACCAGCUUGUAUUACAUGCAACAAAGAACCAUAACAUUCUAGAAUGUCAGGUACAACUGAGACAGCUGUUUGUCUCCCAAUAUCCUUCAGACAAAGCCAUAUAUGAUUGAUGGUUAUCAGUACUGUGCUUUUGGAGGAUUCAGAAGAAGAAGUUAUAUCUGAUUGGGAGAUUGAAAAGGAUUGGCCUGAAGGAGAGGUGGUUUUUGAACUGCAUCUUAAAGGAUGAGGAAACUGAGGCUGAGAGGGUAGAGAACUUUGCCUGAGGUCACUCAGCAGGUAGGUGGUGGAGCCAGGGGUGUAACCCAGGCUGCGGGCCUCCACAUCAGAUACAGACAGAACAGGAAGAAGGUGUUGCAGAGGCUGGCGAUGCUGUGAUUCUCUGGGUAGCAAAGGGAGGGGACAUUCCCAGCAGAAGGAACGGUUUGUGUAAAGGGACCCACCCAUCACAGUAAAUGCCAGCACUGCUGAUGCCAAAACAAUGUUAUUUGUAGGCCCUCGGAAUUUGUGACCUGAAGGAAGAAGAGCAGGGCCGUGGGAAGUAUGUAACCAGUGUCAUGCCCCUGGUCCCAAGGAAGCAGUGGCUUAGUAAAGAGGGGACCCCCGUCAAUAACUCCCUGUAAUUACUGGGCACCCACUCUGAGCUCCUCAGUGGAAUCCUAAGGUUAAUAAGACUGUCUCUAGCCACUGGCAUUCCCAGCCUGGAGUGAGGUGAGAGUGGAGCCGGCUGGGGAGGGAGACGAACACAUACACAGAAGAUUCAGACACACCUGCAAUGUAUUGCUGGGGAUUCUCCAGCAUUGGCAUGACAGAGAGGGUGGAGAAUCAUUUGACCGCCUCCCCCUAGGAUUGCAGAGUUCAGCUGGCCAUCAUCCACCAGCCGGGGGACUGUGCACAUCAGUUAACCUCUCCUCUCAGGCCUUGAAAAGCGCCAGGCUUACUAUACGUUUGUUAAACGAAUGCACUUCAGUUUUUUUGCUUGUUAAAGGCAGGUAAUAAUAAUGAUAUUGCUGACUAAGGGCUCCCAUCCACUCCCAGUGAGCCCGGUGCCCCCCCGGGCCUCCUCAGUGAGCUGAGGAGGCUCAGCAGUGCCUGCACGUCCCCUCGCCACAAUGUCAUGUGCCACCUCUUCAAAGGAGGGAUGUACCAGCUAGUGGACGUGACCUUGACUGCAAAGGGCAGCACGCAGCUGAUGUAAUGGUCGCUUAAGUGUUCACAAAUGUAAGUCAUUACUAUUAUAAGUGGUGGGUGAUCAAGUGGCUAGGGGUGCUAUCUUUAGCAAAUAAAAAUAUAGGACGCACAGUUAAAUUUGAAUUUCAGAUAAGAAUUUCUUAGCAUAAGUAUGCCCUAUGCAAUAUAUGGGACACAUUUAUACCAAAAAAAUUCAAUAUUUAUCUGAAAUUCAAAUGUAACUGUGUGUCCUAGAUUUUAUCUGGCAGCCUUAUUGAUGGCGGCUUAUUGACUGGCUGGGAAUGACAGGGGUGUAGGCCAGGAAAUGGCUCUGUGAAGGCUGCCUAGAAUUGAAUCGAACAUGAGGAUGAGUCAGUGUCAAGACUCCCAGUGGGGCCAUUGGAUCAUUACUGCAUGAUCGUCUUAAGCCUUUGUUAGUGAAUCCCUCAGGCUCACGCCUUCUUCUCUCCAGGCCUGAACACCCUGUCCUACCUGGUCCUACCUGGAUGCUGGCCUCAGUAAGCUCCUGGGCUCAUUGAAGAUGAACCUAGCAGUAGUAUUUACACCACUUGUUGUGUGCCCACUGUGGGCCCGGCACCAUGCCCAGUGCUCUAUGGAUGUGAGAUGAGAACACUGAAGCAGUUUUUUCUAAAAAUAGCUGCCUGGCACAGUGGCUCACAUCUGUAGUCCCAGCACUUUGGGAGGCCAAGGCAGGUGGAUCACUUGAGGCCAGGAAUUCAAGACCAGCAUGGCCAACAUGUGCUGGGAGAGAAAAGCAUACGACAUAGACAGGAAGGUCAAGCUCCACCACGCAGAUGAGGUGCAGGCCACCAGGCUUCCUCUGCCACAUCUCUUUCUGAAAAGGCAGCCUGUGCUGAGAAACCAUGACUGAGUAAGCCAAGCUUUGUUGGCCGCACCUGCCAAGCCACAGGGUGCCUCAGGCUUGGAGCAUCCCGGAGCCAGUUACAACCCAAGACUUCAGCCUUCUGGAAGGUGUUGGGUCAGCUACCCUGAAGGACGAUCCUGCCCAAGUGACACGCUUUGCUCUUCCUUCUCACCCAGGACUUCACAUUCACCCUUGCAAUCCAUGUGGGGACACUGUUGGAUAGGAGGCGUGGUCCCAGUGUGGUCUCCCUGUCUGGGCCUCUGCCUAUGCCAAAUGUUUGCCUUACGCUGCACAAUCAAGAGGUUCCAUGUAUACAGAUGGGAAUUCCAGAGCUACAGAAAAGGCAGCAAGCACCAUGAUUCAAGCUAAUCAGUGUGGAUUCACACCUUCCUCUCUCUCUGUCAGUGGCAGAACUACCAGCUAGAGUAAGAAGUGAUUGAUCCAGGACCUAAACAUUCUGGAAACUCUUGCCCACUUCUGGGAGAAAUGACCCAAUCCAUAGUACUAAGCACACCUUAACUUUCGUAGGACGCAGGCAAGUUGUCAUACCGUGUGCCUAAAUAUAGAAAAAUGAUCCACUGGACUAAUAAAGUGUUAAAUAAAAUAUGU